This 324-nucleotide long non-coding RNA is filed under the name Homo sapiens (human). Its description in RNAcentral is "non-protein coding lnc-NAT1-3:18". Lineage: Eukaryota; Metazoa; Chordata; Mammalia; Primates; Hominidae. The record is from RNAcentral.
AGCAUUGUUUUAAUGCUUUGAUGAAGCUCAGCACGCUGCCGAAAUCUCGGCAGUAUUUUUUCUUUUCUUUUUGCAUGUGAGAGAAAGGACAACAAAUUGCAGUUUUAUCCAUUUGUAUUAUUUCUUUAGAAAACUCAACACUCUUUUUGUUGGAGGUGGGGAAAUGAGAAGGUCUUUGUGGGAAGAAACAAAUCACAAAAGCAAUUAAGAGAGCUCAAACAAUGGACAGCAAGACCCCCCGCAAGACAGCAAGACCCAACUCUCUUCUUUCUCUUCCUCCUCAUCCUACUCAACAUGAAGAUGACAAGGAUGAAGACCUUCAUG